Molecule: long non-coding RNA, 1142 nt
Organism: Gallus gallus (chicken)
Lineage: Eukaryota; Metazoa; Chordata; Aves; Galliformes; Phasianidae
Source: Ensembl
GUCUGAAGUAAAUGGAGAACAUUUCUAUUUGAUUUAGGAACUUGCCUUCUGUAUCACAAGCCUCUUAAAGUUUUAAUUGCAGGGGGCUGAAGGCACACACUGUCGUACUGCUGGUAGCAGGGAUGCAGGCAGCACUUGCUGGGAAGGGAGGCCCAGCAAAAACCUCCCAUCCCCAGCCACUUGCUUUCCUCCUACUUUGCUGAGUCCCAGUACAGGAACCAUGGAAGGAAACAAGGAAUCUCACUGGUCUCAGCAGCUUCAGAGAACGUGCUUCCACAGGUGAAGGAGGCGAAGAAGUCAUAUAGAACAUUGAACAGUUGCUAACAGUCCCAAUCUUUUCACCUCUACCCUUAGAGCAACUCUACACAGCCUGGCUGUCAGUACCCAGCAUGAUCCUUGGCCACAGAAGAUGCAAAAUUUAGAUUUCCCAUUGACCACUGCCAAUCUGGACAGCGGCCAUCUGGUGUGAGAAAGGAAGAAAAAAACAUCUGCCAGUGUUAAAAAUCCCAUACACUUUAUCUUACAUAGUACAGGUAUUUUUGUACAAGCACAGCUAUAACAAAUAAUGAAGCUGUUUUGAUUUCAGGACUGUUAAUUGGAUAAAUAAGGUCAGUAACCACACUCAUAACUGCGUGUGAAUCCAUUCUCCCUGACCUGAGCACCAACAGCUUCAAUUUUGACGUUCAGGCUCUUAGCCAACCUUUUGUCCACUAAGUCUUCCUGCUUUUUUUCUUUUCUUUCAUCUGUUCACUCACCAGACCUAUCUGCAGGACAGUCAAACACUUACCCAGGAUAAUACUCUGUCAGAAGGAACUGGAAAGACAUAAAACUACCAUCCAGCCAGCUUCUCCCAGGAUCAUCCUAGAAUAAUAGAAUGACCGGAGUUAGAAGGGAACUUAAAGGCCAUCUCGUUCCAUCUCCCUGUCCUGGACAGGGUUGUGACUCACUAGAUCAGGCUGUCUUCACAUCUUCUCUGAAUGUACUUCAGGCAAAUGCUUUAUUUCUCCAAGAUUUCCAAACAUAUGGUAGUUCUCUUGCCACAAGCUGAUUGGAUCAGGGUUGCUGAGGUUUUGAAAAUCCCACAGGCUAAAUUGAGGUGAAACAACACCAAACAUACAGUUAAAUGUUUAUUUGUAUUCCAC